Molecule: long non-coding RNA, 2825 nt
Organism: Acipenser ruthenus (sterlet)
Lineage: Eukaryota; Metazoa; Chordata; Actinopteri; Acipenseriformes; Acipenseridae
Exons: 2
Source: RefSeq, a predicted model, not a curated record
GUCAUGUGACAUGACAGCGUUCUGUUGACAUGUCGCCGUCAUACAGUUGUGAUCAAAUCAUUUAUCUUUUUACAGAACAAAUUUAUUAAACUACUCAGAAAACUACAUUUAUCAUUGAUAUGGAUCACCUGAGAGCAGAACAUCGCUACUGAAUAUCCUGAAAAAUACACCAAAGAGGAGUAUCAGAAAGAAAGCCAGUCACUGAAGUAUUUACUGUAGUAUUAUCUUUCCUUUUGUUUGAUCUGUCAGGUCAGUACCUGUAUGUCCUUGAGAAGAAUGGAGAGUGUCUCCGUGUGACCGAUGAAGAGGAGAAGGCUGCCAUUCUCAAUGAAGUUCACGCAGGACGCUUCGGCUCAUGGGUGUGUGGACAAGGGGGUGGGGGGAGCCCCAGAAUUAGGAGUUAUUUGUUUUAUUGUGUUGGACAGCACACGUGGAGGGGUGAUGAGGUGAUGGACCACAGCCAGGCUCUGCUACGUAGACAGUACCCACAGGUGGGAGGUUUGUAUGCUGUCACCAGCCUGACACAGCUGACCUCCUUCAGCUCACCGGCUCAGGGAUUUGUACAGAUUCUCAAUGUGUCUGGCAAUCACUGGGUCACGGUCGUAUCACUGCUGCAGUACAGUGGAAAGACAGUUGGGAUCGGGUGGCCACAUGUACAGCAGCAGCAGGGAUGGAGGGACUGUGGACUGUUUACCAUCCCAAACAGCCUCACACUCUGCAUGGGUGGAGAUCCAGGUAAGUUAUGUUAUGUUAUGAUCAAAAGCAAAUGCAUGAUCAUCUUUUUUCUUGUUUUGUAGCUGGAUCUCUUCCUCCUUUCCCGAGCUGUGAGAGAACCCCCCUCCCAGAGGUACAUUUCUGUGAUGUGGAGACCAGACAGGAUUGCACUGGAGCUGAUGGUGGAAUGCGGGAGGUGUGGAGAAUGGUUCCAUGGCCAGUGUGAAGAUCUACAGCCAGAUGACCUCAUAAGUAUGGAGGAGUAUAUGUGCUCCAUUUGCAGAGUUACACACAUGGGUAAGUAUGGUAAGUAAAGGUGAAACAGAUUUAUUAUUUUGUUUUUUACUAUAUGUUUUUCUGAACAUUUUAUACUAAGCAUUCCUGCUUAGUAUAUUAUACUAACACUAAAAUUUGGUAAUGCCUGUCAAACAACUUUACCAUAAUUUAUAGCUAUUUACAUAUGUACAGUAGGGCAUUGUUAAUAAGGCUCAGUGUCUUCAGUGUUUAUUUUUCAUGAGCACACAAACUACUUAUUUUGAAGACUUUUUUUUUCAGGAGACCUUGAUUCUGUAUUGAGACGUUUUUAUUUGGAGAAAUAUUGCAGAUGCUUUUGCACUUUCGUUUUUAAUUGGUAUGGUAGUCUUAGUUUCUGAGCUACUGAAUUAUUGCCUGACUUGAGUAUUUCCAGGGCAGAGAUAUCCAAAGUAAACUGGAUGUCAGUUCUAACACCCACCUUGUUUAAUGUAGUUAUUGUGAACCAGCUGGGGGAGGGGUUGAUUCACUGUAUUUAAGUGAGAUUGUGCCAAAUAAGGUGGGUGUAACAUGAUAUAAAAGUACAGUAGAUGUAAUUCUGAAGUAAUAAACAACUUCACAUUUUACAUGUACAUGUUUCAGACAGUACAUGUAAUGCUUCAAUUUCAAAUUCGAUUUCCAUUCCUGUGGGAGGGUGCGGGUAUUCACUGACACGGGAGACAGAAAUGGUAUUUGAUAACACCACACAGGUGCUCGGUUUUAUUAUUUUUCUUUUGUUCUCUGGUGCACUGAUUUCUUUGAGCCCGUAGAGGGCGCUUGUGGUCCGUGGUCUGGCUACCAGCUAUGGUAUCCAGAACCAACGGAGAAUACCACGGCAGGGUACUCAGGUACAGUCCGGCACUCGCAGGUGCUCACAAAUUAUAAAAACGAAAAGGCAAAAAGAAACAGGGAAAAUAAAACACAGUAAGGAAAAACUACAAAAUAAAUGUGCUGCACUUCGCAGCGUGAAUCUCCCCAGUCGCCGCUACCCGUACGACCCGGGACUCCGUCCUACACUCUGCUGUCUCCAACUCACACACGUUACUGGGGCUGCCCAACGAUCCCCCACUUUUCCCUUUCUUUCUUUAAAAGUAUUUUCUUUGAUUUUUUUUCUUCGAUCUCCUUUCUUUUCCGGGCUUGUGUUAGCCUCCCGUCCCUCAGUAUUCAAAACGAGACCGCUGUUCUCGCAGUUCCAGUUUAAAGGGGCGGAUCUGAGGAAACAACAGAGUGUUACUUUAUAGGUUAACAAUCCCAUUAAAGUCCGCCUCCCAGCCACUCAGAGAGGGGAAAAGCACACACACCCUCUUUCCCACCUCUCCGUGUCACCGCCAUGACUGGCAGGCAGACCCCACGGGACUGCCGCCCUCUUCCUGCAGCAUCGUGCAUGCGUCAGACGGCCAGUCCAGGUCUCUCCCUGUUACAAUUCCUAUUAAAUGAUAUUAGACAAUUACAUACUAUACAAGAGUACGAAAUGUCCAUAUGAUUUACUGAUAACAUAUGUCACUAUAAAUAAUUGGUAAUGUCGUUUUUAGACAGGCAGCCUCUUUAAAGUCCUUCUUUUUUUGUGGGUUAUGUGAGAAGGCAUUUUAAGGUUCUGUUAAACCUGUUCCUAACACCCCACUCCAUCGGUCAGGACCUUGACGUGGUGAGUGGGCUUUUUACCAAAGCUGACCUACAGUAUAGCUUUUUUUUUUUUUUUCACCACUGCUUACACAUUAAGUCCUGGAUAGCACUUUACAAUGGAAAUAUGCAAUCUGAUCAUGUACUGAUCAUGUUUUAUUGUGAAGAAUACAGAAAAUAAAGUUUGUUACAUUUUUCAA